RNAcentral lists this ribosomal RNA (468 nucleotides) under uncultured bacterium. RNAcentral's name for it is "partial 16S ribosomal RNA". It matches the Rfam family "Bacterial small subunit ribosomal RNA", at positions 28 to 507 of the family's 1533-position model. The record is from RNAcentral.
GACGAACGCUGGCGGCGUGCUUAACACAUGCAAGUCGAACGGAAAGGCCCUGCUUUUGUGGGGUGCUCGAGUGGCGAACGGGUGAGUAACACGUGAGUAACCUGCCCUUGACUUUGGGAUAACUUCAGGAAACUGGGGCUAAUACCGGAUAGGAGCUCCUGCUGCAUGGUGGGGGGUGGAAAGUUUCGGCGGUUGGGGAUGGACUCGCGGCUUAUCAGCUUGUUGGUGGGGUAGUGGCUUACCAAGGCUUUGACGGGUAGCCGGCCUGAGAGGGUGACCGGCCACAUUGGGACUGAGAUACGGCCCAGACUCCUACGGGGGGCAGCAGUGGGGAAUAUUGCACAAUGGGCGGAAGCCUGAUGCGGCAACGCCGCGUGCGGGAUGACGGCCUUCGGGUUGUAAACCGCUUUCGCCUGUGACGAAGCGUGAGUGACGGUAAUGGGUAAAGAAGCACCGGCUAACUACGUG